CUCAUGCUCACAACGUUUUAUUUCAUCAAUGCAACAAAUGGUUCACUCCGUCAAUCUAAUCUCCAUGAAAAUACCGUCUGCUAGCAAAUAUUAGACUAAACCAAGGAAAAGGCCAGGACACCACGCAGCACAAUGGUCCAAAAUGGGAGAUAAACAAUAUACAAGGAACCAAAAGACAUCCAACUUGAAAGUUAACAAUUGGAAACAUCAAAAAUCGUGCUUGCAGACAGAUCAUAAAGUUUUCAAAUAACUGAUAAGCCUCCAACUUGAAAGUAACCCCAUGAAAUACCAGUCAUUCAAAACUCUCUCCAGAAACAUUUGUAAACAGUUGAUGGGGCUACAAAAAGGAAGCGCUCUACCAAAAUAUGAAGAGCAAUCACAACCAACAAAACCAUGAUUAAAAAACAUCUGCACAAAACAGAACAAACAACCUCUCUAAACCCUCUUGGCUUUCAAAGCA
This 460-nucleotide unclassified non-coding RNA is filed under the name Hevea brasiliensis (rubber tree). The record is from RNAcentral. Lineage: Eukaryota; Viridiplantae; Streptophyta; Magnoliopsida; Malpighiales; Euphorbiaceae.